Molecule: ribosomal RNA, 253 nt
Filed under: uncultured bacterium
Lineage: Bacteria
Description: partial 16S ribosomal RNA
Rfam family: Bacterial small subunit ribosomal RNA
Source: RNAcentral
UACGUAGGGGGCAAGCGUUGUCCGGAAUCAUUGGGCGUAAAGCGCGCGUAGGCGGCCCGGUAAGUCCGCUGUGAAAGUCAAAGGCUCAACCUUUGAAUGCCGGUGGAUACUGCCGGGCUAGAGUCCGGGAGAGGGAUGUGGAAUUCCAGGUGUAGCGGUGAAAUGCGUAGAUAUCUGGAGGAACACCGGUGGCGAAGGCGGCAUCCUGGACCGGUAUUGACGCUGAGGCGCGAAAGCCAGGGGAGCAAACGGG